RNAcentral lists this long non-coding RNA (1242 nucleotides) under Marmota monax (woodchuck). The record is from RNAcentral. Lineage: Eukaryota; Metazoa; Chordata; Mammalia; Rodentia; Sciuridae.
GGGGCAGUCGCAAGCCAGGUGCCACUGGGCUGGGCUCACAGGAGGAGAGGGAGAUGGGCCUCUUCCCAGCCCUGCCAGCUGGGAGGUUGCCCACAGAGUGUCCCUACUUACAGAGGAUGGGCUGCAUCCGCAGGAUGGUGGGGACCUCGGCCCUCCAGAUCCCAGCAGAUGGUGUGUGGGAGGAGACUGUUGCCAUUGGCUACACAGAGCCCCCACGGGGACACUGAGGCUGAGAAGUACAUUGGGCUGAAGGAGCCUAGGGAACCAGUUUAGGAUCAGGCACUCCUAAUGAGUGGGCUGAGCCCCCUGGGCCACAUAACCCCACUGCCUGCUGGCCAGACUGUGUGAGUGUUCAGAAACACUGGUCAGUGCCACAGAUCAGCCGUCAUCACCGAGCACCAGGAAUGAGCAGCCAUGCUAAACUCUCCCUAGGGCACUGGAUAAUCAACUGUGGUGUCAGCUGAGCCUGUUCAUUAGAUGAAGACCCCAAGGCUGGCAUGUGGUGCACUGGGAGCAAGCCCAGCCCUGUCUACCCAGCCCUGUCCCCAGGAAGUGCUCUGCGUCCUGCUCAACUCUGACUUCCUGCUGAGCCCUAUCAUGGUACAGAGAAACUCACUCCAAGCGUAAAUGUUGGAGGCAUCCCAGAUGGUCUCCCACCAUCUCCCUGCUCAGUAUGGCCACAUACCCCUGGAUCUGCCCUGGAGAUCCACGCCUCUCUGUCCACCCUCCUGCCACCUGUGGAUGACACAGCUGUAUCCUUGGUGGCUCUUGGCCUUCAGUCCAGGCCUCCACAUGGCCGUAAGAGUGACUUGGUUAGGACAAACAUCACACCGUAUCAUCCUGGCUAACACCCCCAUGGCACUAAGAAUAGCACUCCAGUCCCCAUCUGGCCUUCCCAUACCACAUCAACACCCUGCCCACCCAACAGGCUCCCUUUGCCCAUGGCACUGCAACUCCAGGCCACCUCUGCCCCAUUGCCAGGGCAGGACCUCUGCCAGGCUCUCUCCGCACUCCCCUGCUUUGUCUGGUUUCACAUGGUUUGGCUUGUGGUACCUGCCAGAUAACUGGUCUCCAGUGGCACACUAUAGAGACCCUACCUGAACAGAGCUCAGCUCCCCUGGGCUCCUGCUCAGCCCCUGCUGGUCCGUGACGCCCUGCUCAGUCCCUUUAAGGUGUUUUCAUACCUAAUGCCCUGUUUGACAGACUGUUAAGAUCAAACCUGUCUUGUUGCCUAGUGUGUCU